Molecule: ribosomal RNA, 435 nt
Filed under: uncultured bacterium
Lineage: Bacteria
Description: partial 16S ribosomal RNA
Rfam family: Bacterial small subunit ribosomal RNA
Source: RNAcentral
UGCGAACGCUGGCGGCAGGCUUAACACAUGCAAGUCGAACGGGCAUAGCAAUAUGUCAGUGGCAGACGGGUGAGUAACGCGUGGGAACGUACCUUUUGGUUCGGAACAACACAGGGAAACUUGUGCUAAUACCGGAUAAGCCCUUACGGGGAAAGAUUUAUCGCCGAAAGAUCGGCCCGCGUCUGAUUAGCUAGUUGGUAGGGUAAUGGCCUACCAAGGCGACGAUCAGUAGCUGGUCUGAGAGGAUGAUCAGCCACAUUGGGACUGAGACACGGCCCAAACUCCUACGGGAGGCAGCAGUGGGGAAUAUUGGACAAUGGGCGAAAGCCUGAUCCAGCCAUGCCGCGUGAGUGAUGAAGGCCCUAGGGUUGUAAAGCUCUUUUGUGCGGGAAGAUAAUGACGGUACCGCAAGAAUAAGCCCCGGCUAACUUCGUG